AGAUAAUAGAUACCCUGGUAGUCCUAGCCUUAAACGAUGAAUACUUGGUGUCUGGGGUUUUAUAGUCCCCGGGUGCCGUCGCUAAACGCUUUAAAGCAUUCCGCCUGGGGAGUACGGUCGCAAGACUGAAACUCAAGGGAAUUGACGGGGACCCGCACAAGCGGUGGAGCAUGUGGUUUAAUUCGACGCAACGCGAAGAACCUUACCUGGGCUAGAAUGCCUCUGACCGCCAUAGAGAUAUGGCUUCCUGGGUAAAGCCAGGCAGAGUGCAAGGUGCUGCAUGGCUGUCGUCAGCUCGUGUCGUGAGAUGUUGGGUUAAGUCCCGCAACGAGCGCAACCCUUAUCAAUAGUUGCCAGCGGUUCGGCCGGGCACUCUAUUGAGACUGCCGUUGACAAAACGGAGGAAGGUGGGGAUGACGUCAAGUCCUCAUGGCCUUUAUGUCCAGGGCUACACACGUGCUACAAUGGCAAGUACAAAGCGCUGCAAACCUGCAA
Molecule: ribosomal RNA, 495 nt
Filed under: uncultured bacterium
Lineage: Bacteria
Description: bacterial SSU rRNA
Rfam family: Bacterial small subunit ribosomal RNA
Source: RNAcentral